This 379-nucleotide ribosomal RNA is filed under the name uncultured bacterium. RNAcentral describes it as "bacterial SSU rRNA". It matches the Rfam family "Bacterial small subunit ribosomal RNA", at positions 28 to 417 of the family's 1533-position model. The record is from RNAcentral.
GACGAACGCUGGCGGCGUGCUUAACACAUGCAAGUCAAGGGGGCCCAGCAAUGGGCAACCGGCGAACGGGUGCGUAACACGUGAGCAACCUACCGAACUGUGGGGGAUAGCCGGCCUAACGGCCGAGUAAUACCGCAUACGCUCUCAGUGAGGCAUUUCAUUGAGAGGAAACCUACGGGACAGAUCGAGGGGCUCGCGGCCUAUCAGCUAGUUGGCGAGGUAACGGCUCACCAAGGCAACGACGGGUAGCUGGUCUGAGAGGACGACCAGCCACACUGGGACUGAGACACGGCCCAGACUCCUACGGGAGGCAGCAGUGGGGAAUUUUGGACAAUGGGGGAAACCUGAUCCAGCCAUGCCGCGUGAGUGAAGAAGGCCU